RNAcentral lists this ribosomal RNA (491 nucleotides) under uncultured bacterium. RNAcentral describes it as "partial 16S ribosomal RNA". It matches the Rfam family "Bacterial small subunit ribosomal RNA", at positions 29 to 507 of the family's 1533-position model. The record is from RNAcentral.
AGUGAACGCUGGCGGUAGGCCUAGCACAUGCAAGUCGAACGGCAGCACAGUAAGAGCUUGCUCUUACGGGUGGCGAGUGGCGGACGGGUGCGGAAUACAUCGGAAUCUACUUUUUCGUGGGGGAUAACGUAGGGAAACUUACGCUAAUACCGCAUACGACCUACGGGUGAAAGCAGUGGAUCUUCGGACCUUGCGCGAUUGAAUGAGCCGAUGUCGGAUUAGCUAGUUGGCGGGGUAAAGGCCCACCAAGGCGACGAUCCGUAGCUGGUCUGAGAGGAUGAUCACCCACAGAGGAACUGAAGCACGAACCAGACGACCACGGGAGGCAGAAGUGGGAAAUAUUGGACAAUGGGCGUAAGACUGCUCCAGCCAUCGCGCGUGGGUGAAGAAGGCCUUCGGGUUGUAAAGCCCUUUUGUUGGGAAAGAAAACUGGCAGGUUAAAACCCGCUAUUCUGACGGUACCCAAAGAAUAAGCACCGGCUAACUUCGUG